UACGAAGGGGGCUAGCGUUGUUCAGAAUUACUGGGCGUAAAGCGUGCGCAGGCGGCUUCUCAAGUCAGGGGUGAAAGCCCAGAGCUCAACUCUGGAAUUGCCUUUGAGACUGAGUGGCUUGAGUACGAGAGAGGUGAGUGGAAUUCCCAGUGUAGAGGUGAAAUUCGUAGAUAUUGGGAAGAACACCGGUGGCGAAGGCGGCUCACUGGCUCGUAACUGACGCUCAUGCACGACAGCGUGGGGAUCAAACAGG
RNAcentral lists this ribosomal RNA (253 nucleotides) under uncultured bacterium. RNAcentral describes it as "partial 16S ribosomal RNA". It matches the Rfam family "Bacterial small subunit ribosomal RNA", at positions 524 to 776 of the family's 1533-position model. The record is from RNAcentral.